This 67-nucleotide small RNA is filed under the name Pedobacter alluvionis. RNAcentral's name for it is "Flavo-1 RNA". It matches the Rfam family "Flavo-1 RNA". Lineage: Bacteria; Pseudomonadati; Bacteroidota; Sphingobacteriia; Sphingobacteriales; Sphingobacteriaceae. The record is from RNAcentral.
UCAUAGCCCUGAUCGAAGCGGCAUCCCCGAUUUUUCAUCGGGAUAAAGCGGAUGAGCAGGACUAACA